Molecule: ribosomal RNA, 484 nt
Filed under: uncultured bacterium
Lineage: Bacteria
Description: partial 16S ribosomal RNA
Rfam family: Bacterial small subunit ribosomal RNA
Source: RNAcentral
AUUGAACGCUGGCGGCAGGCCUAACACAUGCAAGUCGAGCGGAUGAAGGGAGCUUGCUCCUGGAUUCAGCGGCGGACGGGUGAGUAAUGCCUAGGAAUCUGCCUGGUAGUGGGGGAUAACGUCCGGAAACGGGCGCUAAUACCGCAUACGUCCUGAGGGAGAAAGUGGGUGAUCUUCGGACCUCACGCUAUCAGAUGAGCCUAGGUCGGAUUAGCUAGUUGGUGGGGUAAAGGCCUACCAAGGCGACGAUCCGUAACUGGUCUGAGAGGAUGAUCAGUCACACUGGAAGUGAGACACGGUCCAGACUCCUACGGGAGGCAGCAGUGGGGAAUAUUGGACAAUGGGCGAAAGCCUGAUACAGCCAUGCCGCGUGUGUGAAGAAGGUCUUCGGAUUGUAAAGCACUUUAAGUUGGGAGGAAGGGCAGUAAGUUAAUACCUUGCUGUUUUGACGUUACCAACAGAAUAAGCACCGGCUAACUUCGUG